GAAAGGCCGGAUGCACAUCGACCGGGUCCUCUCUAUCUACAUGCCUUUCAUGUGUUUUACCUUCUAAACGUGCAUAGAAAUUUAUGUGCCUACUAUGGUUGUAACAACCCACGGAAAAUAAGGGCUCGAAACCCGAAAGGGAGACAGACUGACCGGUCCCCCCUAAAAGGAAAGCAGCCAGUUCCCCCAUUAGGCACUCAACCCCCAAAGAUUUUCCGAAAAAGGAUAACGAGGCGGGCCUCUAUGAGGCUUGCUAUCGGAAUGAGAACAAUUUAAAUCCUUUAACGAGGAUCUAGCGGAGGGCAAGUCUGGUGCCAGCAGCCGCGGUAAUUCCAGCUCCGCAGGUGUAUAUCUAUGCUGCUGCGGUUAAAAAG
Molecule: ribosomal RNA, 374 nt
Filed under: Nematoda sp.
Lineage: Eukaryota; Metazoa; Nematoda
Description: bacterial SSU rRNA
Rfam family: Eukaryotic small subunit ribosomal RNA
Source: RNAcentral